CUGGGCAACUAAAGCAUUGCACGUCGGGCGCUUGCAGGGUAGCCUUCGGGAAAAAUCGAGAUAAGGGACGCCGCGAUAGUUCCCGUGGCUUAUAUCACAUAUGGUGAGCAGAUGCGCGCUAGGUAAAAGUUGUCAACGCCUCCUUUAGUGGUCCAGGUUCCGGGGGUUCCUCCUCAUCCUUUCGUGCGCGCUCUUCCACCUUAAAAGUAAAAGACCGCUGAAAUAAAGGUCGCUUGAACCCCAGUCAACGAUCGAGGUGUGCGUAUGGUCUUACUCUGCUUUUUCUCGUUUAUCUCUCGUUCCUAGCGAUUUAUAAUACAUUUUGUUGUGUUAAAAAGCCCACUCGGCUCUCUUCGAUCUGUCAGCGGUGCAAGUGCUACUGAGGAUUGUUUGUGAGCAACUUCCACGCAAUUAAGAUGAGUUCUCCGCGAGCGAAGCGGUACAGACGCUACCUAGAGCCUGAGCGAUCGCGCUAUGUUCCUCGACAAACACGUCACAAUCAACGCGUGAGGCAGGGCGAUGCGCCGCACGCUGACGGCGUCAGCGAAAGCUCGUCGGCCAGCGACGAACGCCGGCCGGACUCGCCAACCUGCUCGGAUCAAUCUACGGUGGCUGAUGUCGAUCAACUGGGCGAAGAUUUUUCAGAUUGCGAAGAAGCUGACGACAUCCCGCAAGAACGCGUUGACUUACGAACAGAAGCUGCUGCUUGCGAAGGAGAGGCUGGAAAUGAGGGUGAAUACGUGGAAUGCGGCAACCGCGACGAAGAACAGGCUGACGAUUUCGAGGAUCAACGAGCUGACAAUAGCGGCGAUGGAGAAACUGAGGGCCCCGGAGAACAAGCUAAUGACCGCGACGAAGAGGAAGGUGACGACUGCGAAUUUAGUGGCGACUUUCUCGAGGAACAAGCUAAUGACCGCGACGGAGAGGAAGUUGAUGACUGGGAAUUUAGUGGCGACUUUCUCGAAGCUGAUGACCGCGACGUAGAGGAAGAUAACUACGAGUUUAGUGACGACGUUCUCGACGAACAAGCUGAUGACCGCGACGAAGAGGAAGGUGACGACUGCGAUUUUAGAGGCGACUUUCUCGAAGAACAAGCUGAUGACUGCGACGAAGAGGAAGAUGAUUGCGAAUUUAGUGGUGACUUUUCGGAUGAUAACGACGACUCGACAAAUGAUGACGUAGACGACGAUGAUGUGAGGCAGUUCUUCGAGAAGUGUGAGAAAGAAACCUUGCCUAAUCAGGCCAUUAACAAAGCCCAGGCAAUGUUGCUUAUUAUGGCCUAUGUUUUAUACGCUGGAUUGACAUGGUCACAAGUGGAUGGACUGCUGAAGCUUGUUAAUACCCUCUGUGGGACCGAAGUGGUGCCUGAAACAAAGUACCUCUUUAGGAAAAUGUGGCAAAACAGAAUGAAGUCGCUUGGUGUGCACUUCUUCUGCCAGCGUUGUUAUGGCUACCUUGGAUCCCAAAAUCUCAAGGACAGAUCAAGCAAUUUCACUUGUAGCCAGUGUAGAGUGACGCGAACUGUAAGCUGGCUGCUCUUGAAAGGCAGCUUCUUUUUGGUCUUUGACUUGAAGAAACAACUGCUCAGUGUGCUCUCGCAAGCCUCAACAGAACUGUUUCAACGAUUAAAAUCAGGAGCAUCUACAGUAUAUGGGAUGUAUUCUGAUAUUACUGAUGGGCGCCUGUACCGCAGCAUCAGGGAACGUGUGAAUGCACAGUGGUGUGACAUCACCGUGACUAUCAACACUGACGGAUCACCAGUGUUUAAGUCCAGCAAGUACAGUGUGUGGCCCAUUCAAAUUUUGGUCAACGAACUGCCAUUUAACAUUCGCUUCUGCAACAUUGUUGUUGGAGCACUGUGGUUUGCGAAGUGCCACCCUCCAGCGCACCUGUUCAUGCAGACUUUUGUGAAAGUGUUCAACAACAUGAACACGAUUUCUUGGCAACAUGCUGGAGAAAGAAUUAAUUCAAAAGUCUUCGUGACGUGCUGCUGCGUUGACUCACCAGCAAGAGCUUCACUGUUAAAUAUGAAGCAGUUCAACGGCUUUUAUGGCUGCUCAUGGUGCUUGGAAAAAGGAACUGCUGUGGAACGGACUUUGCGAUACAUUCCUGGGGAAAAUGCUGCUGCACUGCGCACGCACAGAGGCAUGGUGCAAGACAUGCAGGAUGCCUACGAGCAAGGCCGGCCUGUUCAUGGAAUCAAGGGCCCCUCACCCCUAUUGCAACUGAAAGGCUUUAACCUUGUGUGGUGCCUGCCCCCAGAUUACAUGCACUGUGUGCUGGAAGGUGUUACUGAGCAAAUAACCGAACUGUGGCUGACAGGAGCUGGAACACCCUUCUAUAUUGGGCGGCACAUACAAGAAGUAGAAAACCGCAUCAGGGACCUGAAGCCUCCAGCGUCAUUCUGCCGCCUCCCCCGUCCUAUUGGUGAACGGAAGUACUGGAAGGCGACUGAAUGGUUGUAUUGGCUUUUGUUUUAUGCUUUGCCAUGUUUGAAGGGUGUACUUCAAGAAAGGUACCUUACACAUUUUUCUUUACUCUGUGAGGCAAUUUUUCUUCUUUUGCAGACGUCUGUGAGUGCAUCAGACCUUCAGAGGGCUGACCACCUUCUUUCUUCUUUUGUGAACAGAGUAUGCGUGCUGUAUGGGGAAAGCAGUGCCACUUAUAACGUUCAUCAGCUGCUGCACUUGAGCAAAAGUGUUGAAAUGCUUGGACCGCUAUGGGGAACAUCCACGUUCCCAUUUGAAAACAGUAAUGGGCUGCUUGUAAAGCUAGUUACGGCCUCAAAGGGGGUUCCACUGCAGAUUGCAGAGCGCUGUAUUAUGAAGCUAUGGCUAAGCAUAGCAGGUAGGUUUGUGAGUUUGUCAGCAUCUCUUGCAGAGAGAAAAAGAAAGAUAACUCAGACAGCUGCUGCUGAAGUGAAAGGUAUCAACGUACUUGGGGCGCCAUUAAAAUUGGUGCAUCUGGAGACAGGUGUGGCAGAACUGUUUGUUCAAAAGUACGGGACAGUUCCACCCUUGAUGCAUUAUGCCAGGCUUCAGAUUCACUCAAUGCAGGUUCACAGUACCCGCUACAGUCAUGCCUUGAAAACAUGCUCCAGCUGCACGAAAAUGAGUGACGGCAUUUUUUGUUUGGUCACUGACAUCUGUUCUUUUUUUUUAACAGAGCGGAAAAUUGUUCUCGUGUGCCAAGAGUUAGUAGCCGUGGAGCCUGAUUUUAGAAAUGUCAGUUAUAUGCAUUCCUGCAGGCGUCCACCUACCAAUAGAAACUUUACUCUUUACGCCCCUGAGGAUGUGCGUGCACUGUGUGUGUUAGUCGAGCAAGGAAAUAUGCUUUAUGUUUCUGAAUUUCCAAAUAAUUACAAAAUCGACUAAAUGGCUUGAAGCAUUUUUUUCUAUAAGCCCAGUUGAUUCACAUUUGAGCGUCAUGAUCGAUUUUGUUGUUAUGGUGAGGAGCUUAAAGGCCAAAUGCAAUGAAAUUUUGGAGCGCUAAAGAGCCUAGUGUAACAUAAUGUAGACAUUAAAGAGUCUCUGUGCAAAAUUUGAUGUUUGAAAAACAAGCGGGAUAUUAUGCAAAGCUAGCAAAAAUAGCCCUUUUUGAUAUUGAAACUCGAAACAACACCACCAUUACCACUCACUGGAAGUGACACAUUACCUCUGCAAUCUCAGAGGCCGUGCUGCUGCAUAGCGUAGAUACUGUGGCCACCACAUGGUGCCGGGACGAGCCCUCUCCUUGUUAGAGGCGCUCAGACUACCGCAUGCUCUGGUUGGUCUCUGUGGUUCUCAAGGCAUGGCUACACGAGCCAGCCGGAGCGCAUGGUGCCCACGGCUGCCGGUGGUAAACUGAGAAAUCUCUGACACUCUGCGGCUUUGUAAAUGUUAUUACGAUAUUAUCCAUAUGAGAUGCUCAAGAGGCGAGCCGCCGCGAGAACGACAAAGUGGGUAUGUGCCCUUGGCGCGAGCGUGGGCCUGGCUCUCUGGCUCCGCUGUAAAGAGCCUGUCAGUAGCCUCUUUCGUCUGUGCCUUUCCACAUGCAACAAUAUUGCUUCAGCAGUAUAUACUACCUAUUUCUAACAAAUAUUGCCAAAGUGAAAUUUCAUUGCAGGUGGCCUUUGUAUGAUGGGUUCUUGUCAAAUAUUGAAUUUCAAAAUAGUUAAAAGAUGGAAAAUUGAAGCUUUACUCGCCAGAUUUAGCUCCCCCAGAUUUUCAUCUUUAUUCUAGGCCCAAGUAACACUUAGCUGGAACCCACUUUCUAUCAGAUAGUGAUGUCAUGGCUUCAGUGGAGGACUUUCUUGAUGUGCAGGAUGAAACCUUCUACAAGAAAGGGAUAAUGGGACUGCAGCAUUGGUAGAAAGUGUGUAGUGCUGAGAGGGGAAUAUGUUGAAAUAUAGCCACGAAUGAUUGAGCUCCUUACCACCUUUCAUUGAUAGGCCGAGAAGCUUGCAGUUAAUCCCUCAUGUAGUACACUACAGCCGUUUAUUGUUGGAUGGAGCAGGCUGUACAUUUUAUACUCUAUGCUUUUAUAUGUUUGCUCAAUGUUUUUGUACUCUAUGCUUUGGUAGUUUAAAGAUUUUUGGUUUCUGAA
Non-coding RNA from Dermacentor albipictus, 4584 nucleotides. The record is from RefSeq and is a predicted model, not a curated record. NCBI's taxonomy places the organism in Eukaryota, Metazoa, Arthropoda, Arachnida, Ixodida, Ixodidae.